AACACACUGCCACUCGGCCACGCGUGCAUCACCGCCGGCGCUCAGUAAGUGUAUACUUGAAGAGUGGGGGUUACAU
Caenorhabditis elegans is the source of this 76-nucleotide non-coding RNA. The record is from Ensembl. Lineage: Eukaryota; Metazoa; Nematoda; Chromadorea; Rhabditida; Rhabditidae.